AGUGAAUAGAUACCCAGGUAGUCCUAGCCGUAAACGAUACUCGCUAGGUGUCGGCCACGGUGCGACCGUUGUCGGUGCCGUAGGGAAAGCCGUGAAGCGAGCCACCUGGGAAGUACGGCCGCAAGGCUGAAACUUAAAGGAAUUGGCGGGGGAGCACCACAACGGGUGGAGCUUGCGGUUUAAAUUGGAUUCAACGCCGGAAAUCUUACCGGGACCGACAGCGAUAUGAAGGCCAGGCUGAAGACUUUGCCGGAUUAGCUGAGAGGUGGUGCAUGGCCGUCGUCAGUUCGUACUGUGAAGCAUCCUGGUAAGUCAGGCAACGAGCGAGACCCACGCCCACAGUUGCCAGCGUACUCUCCGGAGUGACGGGUACACUGUGGGGACCGCCGCUGCUAAAGCGGAGGAAGGAAUGGGCAACGGUAGGUCAGUAUGCCCCGAAUAUCCCGGGCUACACGCGAGCUACAAUGGUUGGAACAAUGGGUAUCUACCCCGAAAGGGGAUGGAAAUCUCCUAAAUCCAAUCUUAGUUCGGAUUGAGGGCUGCAACUCGCCCUC
Molecule: ribosomal RNA, 554 nt
Filed under: uncultured bacterium
Lineage: Bacteria
Description: bacterial SSU rRNA
Rfam family: Archaeal small subunit ribosomal RNA
Source: RNAcentral